UUACAGACAUCCUCACUAACUCUGUAUGAUGUUGCAGAGGAGAGGGGAAUCAGGUUUGUUAAAGCAGCUGCAGUGAUAGAAAUGAAUUAACUUCAGAUCCUACUGAGGUUGCCUACUACAGGGUGAAAAUG
Small nucleolar RNA from Sorex araneus (European shrew), 131 nucleotides. The record is from Ensembl. NCBI's taxonomy places the organism in Eukaryota, Metazoa, Chordata, Mammalia, Eulipotyphla, Soricidae.